CCAGAGCAACCGCUCAUUGGCCAGACCAGAGUUCUUCAGCCUGUUCGGUAUAAAAAGUCAGCCUUCUUCAUAUCAACUGAGAACCUGUGCAGGUUUAGCUGUAACAGCUGGAAGACGCGCUGAAGGAUUCAUGAUCGAAUCCAUAGAUGGCAAAGUGGCACUUCCUCUUCCACCACUUAUUGAGUGUAGUGACAUCCCAAAUAAUCGCACAGAGAUUCCAACUCCAAAUGCUGUGAUUCAUCAGCCCCAUCUACAACAUAUUGCUAAACAUCUCCCAGAACUUGACUCGAAUGCAGAGAUCUUACUUCUUCUGGGUAGAGAUGUAUUAAGACUACACAAAGUAAGACAGCAGGUAAACGGGCCACACAAUGCACCGUUUGCACAACGUUUGGACCUUGGCUGGGUAGUAAUAGGAGAAGUGUGCCUAGGAAACAUUCAUAAGCCAAUCAUCAGCAACUUCAAGACCACCGUGCUGGAAAGUGGCCGUCACUCCAUCUUCCGGCCAUGCACAAGUUACAUGCAGAUAAAGGAAUCAUUACCCAACCUCAACCAAGCCCCUAAGAUAACAGAGGAAACACUAGGAAAAACAGUGUUCAACAGAACUGAUCAAGACAACAGACCUGCUCCAUCAAUCGAAAAUGCAAUGUUUAUGGAAAAGAUGGAUACUGAAGUCUACCGAAACAGUAAGAAUACCUGGGUAGCACCACUUCCGUUUAAGGAGCCACGAUCGCACCUUCCUAACAAUAAAGAGCAGGCUGUUAAGAGAUUCAUGUCACUGCAGAAAAUGCUCAAACGGAACCCAGUAAUGCAGAAACAGUACUUUGCAUUCAUGGACAAAAUCUUUCAAAAUGGACAUGCUGAAGUAGCACCACCACUAAGAGACAAUGAGGAAUGCUGGUUCCUUCCUACAUUUGGAGUGUAUCAUCCUCGGAAGCCCGACCAGAUUAGGGUGGUGUUUGAUUCAAGCUCACAAUACCAAGGAAUCUCCCUAAAUGAUGUAUUACUGACUGGCCC
RNAcentral lists this long non-coding RNA (1014 nucleotides) under Scleropages formosus (Asian bonytongue). Its description in RNAcentral is "lncRNA (ENSSFOG00015024560.1)". The record is from RNAcentral. Lineage: Eukaryota; Metazoa; Chordata; Actinopteri; Osteoglossiformes; Osteoglossidae.